RNAcentral lists this ribosomal RNA (460 nucleotides) under uncultured bacterium. RNAcentral's name for it is "partial 16S ribosomal RNA". It matches the Rfam family "Bacterial small subunit ribosomal RNA", at positions 338 to 795 of the family's 1533-position model. The record is from RNAcentral.
CCUACGGGAGGCAGCAGUGAGGAAUAUUGGUCAAUGGACGAGAGUCUGAACCAGCCAAGUAGCGUGAAGGAUGACUGCCCUAUGGGUUGUAAACUUCUUUUAUCUGGGAAUAAAAUGUUCCACGUGUGGGCUUUUGUAUGUAACAUAUGAAUAAGGAUUGGCUAACUCCGUUCCAGCAGCCGCGGUAAUACGGAGGAAUCGAGCGUUAUCCGGGUUUAUUGGGGUUAAAGGGGGCCUAGGUGGGUAGUUAAGUCAGUUGUGAAAGUUUGCGGGUCAACCGUAGAAUUGCAGUUGAAACUGGCAGUCUUGAGUGCAGGAGAGGUAGGCGGAAUUCGUGGUGUAGCGGUGAAAUGCUUAGAUAUCACGAAGAACUCCGAUUGCGAAGGCAGCUCACUGGACUGCAACUGACACUGAGGCUCGAAAGUGUGGGUAUCAAACAGGAUUAGAUACCCGGGUAGUC